This 170-nucleotide ribosomal RNA is filed under the name Listeria monocytogenes. Its description in RNAcentral is "partial 16S ribosomal RNA". It matches the Rfam family "Bacterial small subunit ribosomal RNA", at positions 1 to 162 of the family's 1533-position model. Lineage: Bacteria; Bacillati; Bacillota; Bacilli; Caryophanales; Listeriaceae. The record is from RNAcentral.
UAUUUUAAAGAGAGUUUGAUCCUGGCUCAGGACGAACGCUGGCGGCGUGCCUAAUACAUGCAAGUCGAACGAACGGAGGAAGAGCUUGCUCUUCCAAAGUUAGUGGCGGACGGGUGAGUAACACGUGGGCAACCUGCCUGUAAGUUGGGGAUAACUCCGGGAAACCGGGG